CCCAAAAAAAAAAAAAAAAAAAAAAAAAAAAAAAAGAAACUAAAUUAAUUAAAUUAAUUAAAUUAUAUAUAUAAUAAUUAAUUAAAACAAAAAAAAAAAAAAAACAAAAAAAAUAUAAAAAGAAAAGGGGGAGGCGCUCGGCAGCCCCCCCCCCAAAUCAGAAAAUCUCUCUCUCUCUCUCUCUUUUAUUUAUUUUCUCUUGAUUUCCUCUCGGAUUAUCUUCGAUUCCAAGCGAUCCGGCCGUUCGAUCGUUGAUCCGACUUCGCUUUCACCGUUAAAGUGCCCCCGAUCUACAAGGAGCCUAUAAGUGGGUGUGUAGUUCCACUAUACACUUACGCGUAGCAAGCAAAGCGAGACAUGAUGACGUAGUCGAUGGCUUAGCUCGACGAAUUCCAUGACGCCAGAUUUGAAUAUUGCGCGGGCCAAGGCUCAGAUUCUCAGGAUUUUGUUCGAUCUUCUCCCCAGACUCGGACUUGAGUCAUCAUUUCCCAGGGAAUUCUCCUUUUGAUUAUUGGUCCAGCAGAUCUUCUGGGAUGAUACCUACUCGUUCUCGGACAGCAUCCAGGCAGACAGAUUCUUUAGGGGGUGAUCAGGCUCCUCAGCCCUCACCUACCAGCGGUUACACGGUCAGAGGCCGUGGACGAGGUCGUGGCGAACGACGUGGCCGAGGCCGAGGCCGAGGUAGAGGCCGGGGCCGUGGUUCGGGUCGCAGUGGAGUUGACUUUGAUGGUAGUACUCCGACGAGAGAUAGGGACCAGCUGAUUAUUGACUCCUUGGCAAACAUCACGGUGCUGUUGACAAAUAUAGUUAAUUCUCAGAGACAGCCAGAGGCGCCAGGGGGUGUGAGCCCUGAUACUAGGGUUGGUGGCGGCACUGGAGAUGGCACCGAGGAUGGCACUAGAGGUGGCACUAGUGGCGGCACUGGCGACGGUGCUGUGGCUGGUGGCGCCAGGGGCGCCGUUAGCGGUGGCGCUGCAGGUGUUGCCGUCGGCACUGGUGAUGCAGGCGAGACUAGGGGACAGCCUCCAGUGGACCUUCCAGUGGACCCUGAGGCCGUUGGGAUAGAUUAUGAGUUUGAGCGGUUUAUGGGUCUGAAGCCGCCCCAGUUCAGAGGUGCGAGAGAUAAGGCUGAAGAGUUUUUGGAUCAGUUGGACAAACUGAAGAGAGGUUCUCGCAUACAUGGCUACCGGAUGGUGGAGCUCACCUCUUUUUGUCUUCAUGGUGAGGCGAGCGUGUGGUAUGAUGUAUUGAGGAGACGACGGGGUGAUGCCCCGUUAGGGUGGGCUGAGUUCAAGAGACUAUUUUUGGCAAAAUAUGUCUCUAGCACUAUGAGAUUCCAGAGGGCCCAGCAGUUUGAGGCCCUAAGACAGACCCCAGAUAUGAGCGUUGAGCGUUAUGAUGCGUUAUUCACUGAGCUCUCACAGUUUGCACCUGCUUUGGUUCCUACGGAGCAGGACAGGAUUACACGCUUUAUAUCUCGAUUGAUCGAGCCGUGGUUCAGGAGUUUGCACGCCACUCGUUUUGGCACGUAUGAGGAGGCAGUUGAUAGUGCCUUAGCCCUUGAGGCACGAGCAGCAGAGGAGAGGGCAGCUAGAGACUUGAAGAGGGUUAGAGGCGACGCUGGUACUUCCUUCUCUUCUGGGAAGAAGGGGAAGGGCACGACGAGUUUACAGCCGUUGGCAGUAGCGCCACCAUUUCCUUCAUUGCCUGCGCCCCCUUCCCAGAGACAGCAGCAGCAGCAGCGGCAGUGGCAGCAGAGACAGGAAGAGAGGCCCCUAUGUCCGACAUGUAAGAAGAGACACUCAGGGGUGUGCAGGUAUGCGAAGGCCCCGAUUACAUGCUUUAGGUGUGGACAGUCAGGUCACAUCCAGAGGGAUUGUUCACAGCUAGGGCGAGGCCCUCCAGGACGACAGGCUCCAGCUCAGCAGCCGACAUCUAGAGCUCAGAGCAGCGCUCCCCAGCCUCGAGGGGGACAUGGCCCACAGGGUCAGCCGAGGGUCUAUCAUAUGACUACUCAGGAUGCCCAGGCAUCCAAUCAGGUGGUGACAGCCUAUAAGUGGGUGUGUAGUUCCACUAUACACUUACGCGUAGCAAGCAAAGCGAGACAUGAUGACGUAGUCGAUGGCUUAGCUCGACGAAUUCCAUGACGCCAGAUUUGAAUAUUGCGCGGGCCAAGGCUCAGAUUCUCAGGAUUUUGUUCGAUCUUCUCCCCAGACUCGGACUUGAGUCAUCAUUUCCCAGGGAAUUCUCCUUUUGAUUAUUGGUCCAGCAGAUCUUCUGGUAUGAUGUCAUACCCUCUUUUGAUUUCGGAUGUAUUAUAGGAUGCUCUGUGGAGACAUACCCAUGUUGUAGAGUCUGAUGUUUUGUCUUUAUUUUUGUUGGCACAUAAUUGUGCCAAGGGCCCGAGAUACGGGAUCGGAUAUGUAUUAUUGACAGCAGUGUGAUAGAUAUUCUUAUUUUGUACAGCUGCUGUAUAUGAAAUAUUGAGAUAUUAUGUUAGAAGGUGAAUUGGUAUUUUAUUCA
Molecule: RNA transcript, 2523 nt
Organism: Diospyros lotus (date-plum)
Lineage: Eukaryota; Viridiplantae; Streptophyta; Magnoliopsida; Ericales; Ebenaceae
Exons: 8
Source: RefSeq, a predicted model, not a curated record